Molecule: ribosomal RNA, 554 nt
Filed under: uncultured bacterium
Lineage: Bacteria
Description: bacterial SSU rRNA
Rfam family: Bacterial small subunit ribosomal RNA
Source: RNAcentral
CUACGGGAGGCAGCAGUGGGGAAUUUUCCGCAAUGGGCGAAAGCCUGACGGAGCAAUACCGCGUGAGGGAAGACUGCCUAUGGGUUGUAAACCUCUUUUUUCAGGGAGGAAUAAAUGACGUGUACCUGAAGAAUAAGCAUCGGCUAACUCCGUGCCAGCAGCCGCGGUAAGACGGAGGAUGCAAGUGUUAUCCGGAAUCACUGGGCGUAAAGCGUCUGUAGGUGGUUAAGCAAGUCAACUGUUAAAUCUUGAGGCUCAACUUCAAAAUCGCAGUCGAAACGGUUUGACUAGAGUAUAGUAGGGGUAAAGGGAAUUUCCAGUGGAGCGGUGAAAUGCGUAGAUAUUGGAAAGAACACCGAUGGCGAAGGCACUUUACUGGGCUAUUACUGACACUCAGAGACGAAAGCUAGGGUAGCAAAUGGGAUUAGAUACCCCAGUAGUCCUAGCCGUAAACAAUGGAUACUAGAUGUUGAACAGAUCUACCUGUGCAGUAUCAAAGCUAACGCGUUAAGUAUCCCGCCUGGGAAGUAUGCUCGCAAGAGUGAAACUCAAAG